This 76-nucleotide non-coding RNA is filed under the name Streptococcus thermophilus LMG 18311. The record is from RNAcentral. Lineage: Bacteria; Bacillati; Bacillota; Bacilli; Lactobacillales; Streptococcaceae.
GGAAAGCUCGGAAUUUAGAACAAUCGUUUUGGAUGCUGGCAUCCUGCAACGAUUGCCUAAAAUCCUAGCGCUUUCU